Small nuclear RNA from Balaenoptera musculus (blue whale), 164 nucleotides. Its record names the gene U1. It matches the Rfam family "U1 spliceosomal RNA". From Rfam's summary of the family: U1 is a small nuclear RNA (snRNA) component of the spliceosome (involved in pre-mRNA splicing). Its 5' end forms complementary base pairs with the 5' splice junction, thus defining the 5' donor site of an intron. NCBI's taxonomy places the organism in Eukaryota, Metazoa, Chordata, Mammalia, Artiodactyla, Balaenopteridae. The record is from Ensembl.
AUACUUACCUGACAAGGGAGAUACCAUGAUCACAAAGGUGGUUUUCCCAGGGCAAGGCUUAUCCAUUGCACUCCGGAUGUGUUGACCCCUGCAAUUUCCCCAAAUGUGGGAAACUUGACUGCAUAAUUUGUGGUAGUGGGGGAUUGUGUUCUCACUCUCCCCUG